Molecule: long non-coding RNA, 943 nt
Filed under: Lathyrus oleraceus (garden pea)
Lineage: Eukaryota; Viridiplantae; Streptophyta; Magnoliopsida; Fabales; Fabaceae
Description: Pisum sativum (pea) long non-coding RNA (PSAT_LNC016021)
Source: RNAcentral
CUCCACCCAUAUAGAAUUAUUAGCAUUGUGCAUGCUGAUAAGUCCAUUCAUGUGAGUUACUUAGCUCCCAAAUAGUUUUAUUCAUCACUUGUAUCCCAUGUAUUUUUAGUUAUGUUUAGAUGUUUUUAAAGUAAUUUGUUAUUUUUUAGUAUUGAACACACUUGGUGCUUUAUCUUUGUACUUUUACUUUGUUUUUAGUGUGCAAGUUUAGCAAUUUGGAUGAACACUAUCACAAUGGUCAUGUGAGACUAAUUCUCAGUAGUCAGCAGACUUUUGCCACAAGAAAUUGGUUACAAUUGAGACUUUUGUGCUGACACUAAUUUGAAGAAGAUUCUAGAGGAAUGAAUUAGGGCUGAGUUAUCACGCUAAUGGAUAAUGAUGGACAAAAGCUACCAAAAUUUGCAAAACCUGUAACAAUGCUGCUAAAGGAUCACGCCGUCUCCCAUGUACACUCUUACCACCCUAAUAAUACAUGUAUUAUAAAAAGGAAUAUGCUUUACUCCUUGUGCCAUGGUUAAUAUAUAAUUUUCAAAGGCCCAAGGAUCGAAAAAUAAGACAAUUUUACAAGUAAUAAAUCUUUCUAUAAAUGGACUCGAAAUUUCUACUGAAGAGAGGUUCAAAAGAUAAAAAUCAUGCAGAUAAAGAAGGAGAGAAACAUUGAGUUCCAUCAUCCAUUCCACCACCCUCGUGAGUUUUGAAGAAAUACAAUGCUAGGAGGCACGCCACCCAUGGUCAAUUGCUGUUGACAAAUUUUAAGUGAUUGAAGUGAUUUUAUAUGGUUUACCAUUUAUAUUCUUAUUGUUUAUAAAGGUUAAACUUAGGAUCUUAGCUUGUUGUAUCUACUUUUCUCAGUAUGAGUUAACUUAUUUUUUUGGAUAAUGCGAAGUUUAAUGAAAGUAGUAUUUUAUUGAAUGCUUAUGAAUUUGUUGUUGUGAUAUUUUUA